Molecule: ribosomal RNA, 863 nt
Filed under: uncultured bacterium
Lineage: Bacteria
Description: bacterial SSU rRNA
Rfam family: Bacterial small subunit ribosomal RNA
Source: RNAcentral
GAAUUCGCCCUUAGAGUUUGAUCCUGGCUCAGGACGAACGCUGGCGGCGUGCUUAACACAUGCAAGUCGAGCGGGGACAGUGGAAGUGCUUGCACAGAAACUGUUCUAGCGGCGGACGGGUGAGUAACGCGUGAGCAAUCUGUCCCAGACAGGGGGAUAACACUUGGAAACAGGUGCUAAUACCGCAUAAGACCACGAGGUCGCAUGGCUUUGAGGUAAAAGAAAUAUCGGUUUGGGGUGAGCUCGCGUCUGAUUAGCUAGUUGGUGAGGUAACGGCCCACCAAGGCGACGAUCAGUAGCCGACCUGAGAGGGUGAUCGGCCACAUUGGAACUGAGACACGGUCCAGACUCCUACGGGAGGCAGCAGUGGGGAAUAUUGGGCAAUGGGCGCAAGCCUGACCCAGCAACGCCGCGUGAAGGAAGAAGGUUUUCGGAUUGUAAACUUCUGUCCUUGGUGACGAACGCAAUGACGGUAGCCAAGGAGGAAGCCCCGGCUAACUACGUGCCAGCAGCCGCGGUAAUACGUAGGGGGCAAGCGUUGUCCGGAAUGACUGGGCGUAAAGGGCGUGUAGGCGGCUUUUUAAGUGUGAAGUGAAAGUCCUGCUUUCAAGGUGGGAACUGCUUUGCAAACUGGAGAGCUUGAGUGCGGAAGAGGUAAGUGGAAUUCCCAGUGUAGCGGUGAAAUGCGUAGAGAUUGGGAGGAACACCAGUGGCGAAGGCGACUUACUGGGCCGUAACUGACGCUGAGGCGCGAAAGCGUGGGGAGCGAACAGGAUUAGAUACCCUGGUAGUCCACGCUGUAAACGAUGAAUGCUAGGUGGAGCGGGUAUCGACCCCUGCCUGUGCCGCAAUAAACACAAUAA